GACGAACGCUGGCGGCGUGCCUAAUACAUGCAAGUUGAGCGCUGAAGGUUGGUACUUGUACCAACUGGAUGAGCAGCGAACGGGUGAGUAACGCGUGGGGAAUCUGCCUUUGAGCGGGGGACAACAUUUGGAAACGAAUGCUAAUACCGCAUAAAAACUUUAAACACAAGUUUUAAGUUUGAAAGAUGCAAUUGCAUCACUCAAAGAUGAUCCCGCGUUGUAUUAGCUAGUUGGUGAGGUAAAGGCUCACCAAGGCGAUGAUACAUAGCCGACCUGAGAGGGUGAUCGGCCACAAUGGGAAUGAGACACGGCCCAAACUCCUACGGGAGGCAGCAGUAGGGAAUCUUCGGACAUGGACGAAAGUCUGAACGAGCAAAGCCGCGUGAGUGAAGAAGGUUUUCGGAUCGUAAAACUCUGUUGGUAGAGAAGAAAGUUGGUGAGAGUGGAAAGCUCAUCAAGUGACGGUAACUAAACAGAAAGGGACGGCUAACUACGUG
Molecule: ribosomal RNA, 497 nt
Filed under: uncultured bacterium
Lineage: Bacteria
Description: partial 16S ribosomal RNA
Rfam family: Bacterial small subunit ribosomal RNA
Source: RNAcentral